This 827-nucleotide ribosomal RNA is filed under the name Vishniacozyma victoriae. RNAcentral describes it as "LSU rRNA". It matches the Rfam family "Eukaryotic large subunit ribosomal RNA", at positions 99 to 921 of the family's 3401-position model. The record is from RNAcentral. Lineage: Eukaryota; Fungi; Basidiomycota; Tremellomycetes; Tremellales; Bulleribasidiaceae.
CGGGAUGAGCUCAAAUUUAAAAUCUGGCGUCUUUCAGGCGUCCGAGUUGUAAUCUAUAGAGGCGUUUUCCGCGCCGGACCGCGUCCAAGUCUCUUGGAAUAGAGUAUCAAAGAGGGUGACAAUCCCGUACUUGACGCGACAACCGGUGCUCUGUGAUACGUUCUCAAUGAGUCGAGUUGUUUGGGAAUGCAGCUCUAAAUGGGUGGUAAAUUCCAUCUAAGGCUAAAUAUUGGCGAGAGACCGAUAGCGAACAAGUACCGUGAGGGAAAGAUGAAAAGCACUUUGGAAAGAGAGUUAAACAGCACGUGAAAUUGUUAAAAGGGAAACGAUUGAAGUCAGUCGUGUGAAAGGUAUUCAGCCGUCUCUGGCGGUGUAUUUGCCUUUCACGGGUCAACAUCAGUUUGAUCCGGUAGAAAAAGGCGGGAGGAAGGUGGCACCCUCGGGUGUGUUAUAGCCUCCUGUCAUAUGUGCCGGACCAGACUGAGGAACGCAGCUUGCCGCAAGGCCGGGGUUCGCCCACGUACAAGCUUAGGAUGUUGACAUAAUGGCUUUAAACGACCCGUCUUGAAACACGGACCAAGGAGUCUAACAUAUCUGCGAGUGUUUGGGUGUCAAACCCAAGCGCGAAAUGAAAGUGAACGUAGGAGGGAUGCGCAAGCAGCACCUUCGACCGAUCCGGAAGUAUUCUGAUGGAUUUGAGUAAGAGCAUAUAUGCUGGGACCCGAAAGAUGGUGAACUAUGCCUGAAUAGGGCGAAGCCAGGGGAAACUCUGGUGGAGGCUCGUAGCGAUUCUGACGUGCAAAUCGAUCGUCAAAUUUGGGUAUAGG